AACGAACGCUGGCGGCGUGGAUAAGACAUGCAAGUCGAACGGGAACUCUUUUGGUAGCAAUACCGGGAGAGUUCUAGUGGCGAACGGGUGCGUAAACACGUGGGCAAAUCUGCCGAGAAAGUGGGGGAUAGCUCGCCGAAAGGCGAAUUAAUACCGCAUGUGAUGAGAGGCGACAUCGCUUCGAAAUCAAAGCCGGGGGCAACCUGGCGCUUUUUUGAGGAGCCCGCGGCCUAUCAGCUUGUUGGUGAGGUAACGGCUCACCAAGGCUUUGACGGGUAGCUGGUCUGAGAGGACGACCAGUCACACUGGAACUGAGACACGGUCCAGACACCUACGGGUGGCAGCAGUCGAGAAUUUUUUCUCAAUGGGGGCAACCCUGAAAGGAGCGACGCCGCGUGGAGGAUGAAAGGUCUUCGGGUUGU
RNAcentral lists this ribosomal RNA (422 nucleotides) under uncultured bacterium. RNAcentral's name for it is "bacterial SSU rRNA". It matches the Rfam family "Bacterial small subunit ribosomal RNA", at positions 29 to 426 of the family's 1533-position model. The record is from RNAcentral.